This 677-nucleotide long non-coding RNA is filed under the name Elaeis guineensis (African oil palm). RNAcentral describes it as "long non-coding RNA (EGUI_LNC048249)". The record is from RNAcentral. Lineage: Eukaryota; Viridiplantae; Streptophyta; Magnoliopsida; Arecales; Arecaceae.
CCCUCAUAUCAAUGGUCUAAGCCGUACCAAAUAAGUCAUGUUCAAGGGCUUUCCAGUCCAUAAUUUGUCCAUUACCUUCAGCCAAACCAGACUGGAAGCCAUUUCAACCAGACCACUAAGAAACUUCUAAAGGUCAGAGAAGACCAUUCCGAAGAAAAUACUCCCAUCCCAGUGAUGAACGACCCAGGGCUGGGUAAUUGAACAAGUCGAUCCAACAAAUACAGACCACAGAACAGGACCACAAUUGCCAGAGCUGGAGACUAUUUCUUGCAUAGGACAAGCCUCCAUGUACUCACAUAAAACUCACUGAAAUGGCAAUACAGCCAGGACCAGCGCAAAUUUGAGAGCGAAGAGUUAAAGGAAACAAAUUUACUCAUCACAGGGAAUCAUCCAGAGAUAUUUUACCACUCUCUAAAGUGAUCAAUGGAGUCUGACUUUAAGGUAGAAAACAUGAGGAUGGCCAUCAAUACCAUAGUUCCAUGUAUGUGGUAUGAAGCUGGAUUGGCACAAGAGUGGACAGUCUUGUACCUGUCUCUUAGGGUCAUGCUAACAGGUUAACACAUGUAGACAACUAAUUUUCUUAUUUGAAUAGCUACAGCAGUACAUGCACAAACCAAGGAAAAAAUGGAAAAGGAAAUAACACAAACAGGUUUAUCUGAUUCCAGAUGGCAGUCCUG